AUGUUCAUGAACUUGAAAAAUGAUUUCGAGUUUGAACAAAGAAAGUUUACCAAAGAAGACAUCAAAGAAAUUAUAUUUAGGGAGAUACUGGAAUACCUCCCUCAACUUCUCAAGGAUUACAUGCACGGAUCUGAAAAUACUUACUAUGUCCUAUGUUUCUACCUUGACAUAUCUUGCAAUCUGCUAAGAGGAAGAUGGUGGAAAGAGCGGGCGAGUCGAGAGAAAACAUUUUCUUCUCCCAAGGUGUCGAACUACACUACCAGCAGCAGAGGCUGCACCUUGUCUUUAGCAAAGACGGAAAGCCUGCUAAUUAAUGAUACAGGGAGAUGA
RNAcentral lists this ribosomal RNA (330 nucleotides) under Triticum aestivum (bread wheat). Its description in RNAcentral is "partial small subunit ribosomal RNA". Lineage: Eukaryota; Viridiplantae; Streptophyta; Magnoliopsida; Poales; Poaceae. The record is from RNAcentral.